Long non-coding RNA from Chinchilla lanigera (long-tailed chinchilla), 729 nucleotides. RefSeq lists it as uncharacterized. The transcript is spliced from 2 exons. NCBI's taxonomy places the organism in Eukaryota, Metazoa, Chordata, Mammalia, Rodentia, Chinchillidae. The record is from RefSeq and is a predicted model, not a curated record.
GAUGGGCAGAAGGGGAGAGAAAGUGGCCACCAGGAGACAGGUUAGGAGACCACGGUUGUCAUUUAAGCUAGAGAUAAGAAGGUCUGAGCUAGAAGAAUGGCUGUGGGCAGAGAGAGGGGGUAGGGAUGCAGGCCACAGGGCCUGGAGCAAUUAGCUGACAAGAGGAGAGUCCACAUGCGGCCAAGUGAGGAGCCUUAGAGAUCUGGACUCUCCCAGGGCUGAGACAGCUGUGUGCUAGCUACACUUCUGGGCGGGCUCAUACUUGGCUGCCGGGAUGGUGUUCAAAGGAGUCAGGACAGCUAACAACACUCCUGAUGGCCUGCAAAUAACCAGCCCCUUGGACCACUAGGAUGACAACACUGGUAAUACAUCUGUCAACUGUGCAGGAUGUCUGAGGAACAGGAUUAGGAGCUUGAAAACACCUGUCCAGACGGGAAAGAGAAGUACCAGCAGACAUGACCCAUGCGUGAAUGCACCACUUAAUUCUGAUGGACAGAAAAGGAAAACAAGCCUUCAAACAACUUUGAGAUAGAAGUGAUGCAGAAUGAGGAUGAGACGUGCUCAGAAGGUACCUGAUUCCUUCCUCUCCGGGGUUUGGAAGUGCCGGGUUCCUCUCCCUACAGAAAAGCUGACAGCCUGGAAGGGAACAGCCAGCGGAAGAGGAAAGCUGCCUACACUAGCUUGGGAGCCAGAGUGCCGUAAACCAACCCCACUUUAGCUUGAAGAGAC